Molecule: long non-coding RNA, 3014 nt
Filed under: Mytilus galloprovincialis (Mediterranean mussel)
Lineage: Eukaryota; Metazoa; Mollusca; Bivalvia; Mytilida; Mytilidae
Source: RNAcentral
CUUUGGCAUCUUUAUUGACCAAAAUUGCACUUUAAUUGAAUCACAGAAAACAUCAAAACAAUAAUAAUAAUUCUAUAAUUUAUAUUUAUAUGUCAACAAACAAUUUUAUGCUUCUGAGAGAUAUAUUUCUCCUUUAACAAUCAUGUGGUAUAACAGCAAUAUGUUUCCGGACUUCCUUCCAUUUUCACAAUAUAUUUUUUUUUAAGUCUUAAGCUCACAGAGACCUGUACUGGUACUGCCCACCUUCUUAUUAAUCACCAUUAAAAUAUCAACAAUGAAUUUUGUUUGUUGUGUUAUACAGGACUCUGAAAGAUUACUGAAGUUCGGCAUUUCUCCAAACAUUAAAUGUUUUUAGCCUCUGUAGUUUAAGAAAACUGUUAUUAAUAGUUUACUUUUAAUUUCAUCUUUGUAAUAUGGUCUUGAAUAUUUGUUUAUUUCACCAACAUAUUUUUUUUUCUAAAUGUGUAUAUGUAGUGUUUUAUUUCAAAUUAUAAAUUAACCUAAACAAUAUUGAAUUCAGCCAAUUUAAAAAAGGAAACUUUGAUAUUUCAAAUAUUUCCAAAUGCUAUAAAUUAAAAUCUUCUGAAUAAAAGUCAACAUUUAAUAAUUAUACAGCUAUAAAACAGCAAAAAUCUUUCAAUAAAUAUCCCCAACAAAUUACAGAUUGAUUGACUAAUUAAUUAACAAAGUGAUACACUCAUCUACAAAUGAACACAAACAUAUCUAUUAGGUGAAACAAAUAUGUCAUUCUAAGUUUGUUACAUAAUGCCAUAGUUUAGGGUUUAUAUGGGCAACGCCCACAUUAACACACAGAUACUUUAACAAGGCAGUAUGUUUAUAAUACAAUGUAGUGAUAAUUCAUAUUUCUUCAAGUUCCAUAACCUUUUUGGCACUUAAUUGUUCUGAAUUUUAACUCAAUUUGCUUAUAAGAUGAAUACAGAACAUUAAAAAAGCUGGUUAUGCACAUUUUUAUCUACAUAAAUAUAGCACUGUUUUAUGUUGUAAAAUAUCACUGCUUAAAUAGUUUUUUUAUUCCUGGAAAUUCAGAUAUAUAUUCUCUAUAAUGCAAUAUUUGAUUGAAAAGAAUUGAUUGCAAUAAUAAAACAUGCAGUUAACGAAUAACUGUAAUUGAAAUGUUUCCACCUUUAAAUCUCAGAUACACACCUGUCCUAUGACAUUCAAAUUAGGGUUGAUCAUUACACACUACUACAAAAUGCACAGAAUCCUGAUAACAGUCCUCAACAUAUUGUCGGUGGUUCUUAGAUACAUUAUAGCAUGGUCUAACAUUGAUCAUAUGAGAAUUGAUUUUCCAGGACUAUUAGAUAAGUUAUAUUUCAAUCUAAUUGUUACAAUCUUGCCUUUCAGGAAUUUUGAAUUAUACAAGUUUGAUUCCCUAAAUUUUGCAGGAAUUUUUUUUAUCAAGAAUAAAAAUGUGUAUUUUCAUUGUGCCUAAAUCUUAAAAAGUGUAUACAUGACAAAAUACAGUAUAUUUUCGAAUGGAAUGUUGUUUAUAAUAAUAGAACAACAACAAAAGCAGACACAGAACAUGCCUGCCUUUAUUGGGUAGGAAAUAUAUCUGUAAUGGAACAACUCUACUUUCUAGAAGGAUAACUGACUAUAUAACUACAUGGAUAUUUUUGUUUACAAUAUAUACAAUAAAAUAUGUUUAUACUGCAUUCUAUUAACUUUGAUCUAUUUCUAUAAAUUACACAUACAAUACAUUAUAAUAACAACUGAUAGGCAGUGUUGUUUAACUUACAUAUUAUUCUAUAAAAUACAAUACAAUACUUCACAUUAUUCACUGAUGGCAGUGAAGAAAAAAAGCACCUCAUAACUAUCUAUAAAUAGUUUUCAAUAAUGCCACUUAAAAGCUAUUUCAGUGAAUUAGAAAAGUCAUCUUUUUAUAAAUAUUUGUUAAAGCUCUAAAUAUCUGAGUAGCUUGCACAUGUUGAGCUAUAGAUUAAAAUUAAACAAGAAUGUGUCAAAAGUACACGGAUGCCCCACUCGCACUAUAUAUUUCUAUGUUAUGGACCUGAAAUUGGGUCAAAAACUUUAAUUUGGAAUUAAAAUUAGAAAGAUCAUAUCAUGGGGAACAUGUGUACUAAGUUUCAAGUUGAUUGGACUUCAACUUCAUCAAAAACUACCUUAACCAAAAGCUUUAACCUGAAGCGAACGGACGCACGGACGGACAGAGGCACAGAGGCACAGACCAGAAAACAUAAUGCCCCUUUACUAUAGUAGGUGGGGCAUAAUAAAAUGAAGGAAUAAAAGUUUGUACCAAUGUAGAAAACCCGCUUUAUCCAAAAGUUUGUAUAUAUGUAGUGAACACAUUUCAUCUAAGUUAGGUAAAAAAAAAAUGUUUAUGAUUUUCUUAAAAACCCAAUUCAUCACAAGGUACUUCACUAUCACAACACCUAUUUAUGACAUUGUCAACUUUACUUUACAUAGUACAUUUUUUUGUAUAUAUGUAUAUUUACACAAAACAUUUGUUUGUCAACAAAUCUGGCAUACACUAAUAAUAUAUUAUAAGUGAGAUCGUUUACUUAUAUCGGUUUACAAAUAGAUAAUUUUGCUCUGUAAGGGUAUUAAGACGAUAAUUAACCUAUCAUGAUCACCCAUAUUAAUAACCUGGAUGUUCCAAGUAAAACCAAUAUUUUUUUCAAUCAACAUGCAAAAUAUGUUUUAAACUUUUGUUUUGAACAAUAGAAACCUGAACACAUAGUUUUGUUGUCUUCGAAUUCUUCGAUUGAAAUCCAUUCACAUUAUGACACUUGGACAAAAAGUAUACUCAAUUUUGAUAAAAAUGAAAACAAUCCAAAGCUAAAAAAAAGCUAAGCUCUUUUUUCAAUUAAUGUUAACUGUAUUAUUUUAAAGGGUGACCAUGGCAGUCACAAUAUAGUCAUACACUUAACAUUCUUUGGUUCAACAAUACAAUAAGAAAUUCUGUAUACAUAAAAAGAAGUAAUUGAAAUGAAAAACAUAUGGAAAUAACAUCUGUCAUUCUCAUAUUUGUG